UACAGAGGUCUCGAGCGCUGUUCGGAUUCAUUGGGCGUAAAGGGGGCGUAGGUGGCGCUGUAAGUCGGGUGUGAAAUCCUGAGGCUUAACCUCGGAACUGCAUUCGAUACUGCGGUGCUUGAGGACUGGAGAGGAGACUGGAAUUCAUGGUGUAGCAGUGAAAUGCGUAGAGAUCAUGAGGAAGACCAGUGGCGAAGGCGGGUCUCUGGACAGUUCCUGACACUGAGGCACGAAGGCCAGGGGAGCAAACGGG
Molecule: ribosomal RNA, 253 nt
Filed under: uncultured bacterium
Lineage: Bacteria
Description: partial 16S ribosomal RNA
Rfam family: Bacterial small subunit ribosomal RNA
Source: RNAcentral